Molecule: ribosomal RNA, 250 nt
Filed under: uncultured bacterium
Lineage: Bacteria
Description: partial 16S ribosomal RNA
Rfam family: Bacterial small subunit ribosomal RNA
Source: RNAcentral
UCAACUAGUUGUUCGGUGAGGAGACUCAUUGAGUAACGCAGCUAACGCGUGAAGUUGACCGCCUGGGGAGUACGGCCGCAAGGUUAAAACUCAAAGGAAUUGACGGGGACCCGCACAAGCGGUGGAUGAUGUGGAUUAAUUCGAUGCAACGCGAAAAACCUUACCUACCCUUGACAUGCCAGGAACUUGCCAGAGAUGGCUUGGUGCUCGAAAGAGAGCCUGGACACAGGUGCUGCAUGGCUGUCGUCAG